CACGCCGCGUGAGUGAAGAAGGCCUUCGGGUUGUAAAGCUCUUUCGGCUGGGAAGAAAUCGCAGAGGCUAAUACUCUGUGUGAAUGACGGUACCAGUACAAGAAGCACCGGCUAAUUACGUGCCAGCAGCCGCGGUAAUACGUAAGGUGCGAGCGUUAAUCGAAAUUACUGGGCUUAAAGCGUGCGCAGGCGGUUGUGCAGGACAGAUGUGAAAUCCCCGGGCUCAACCUGGGAACUGCAUUUGUGACUGCACGACUAGAGUACGGCAAAGGGGGGUGGAAUUCCACGUGUUCCAGUGAAAUGCCUAUAGAUGUGGAGGAAUACCGAUGGCUAAGGCACCCCCCUGGGCCAAUACUGACGCUCAUGCACGAAAGCGUGGGGAGCAAACAGGAUUAAAUACCCUGGUAGUCCACGCCCUAAACGAUGUCAACUAGUUGUUGGGAGGGUUAAACCU
Molecule: ribosomal RNA, 454 nt
Filed under: uncultured bacterium
Lineage: Bacteria
Description: bacterial SSU rRNA
Rfam family: Bacterial small subunit ribosomal RNA
Source: RNAcentral